GAUGAACGCUAGCUACAGGCUUAACACAUGCAAGUCGAGGGGAAACGGCAUCGAAAGCUUGCUUUUGAUGGGCGUCGACCGGCGCACGGGUGAGUAACGCGUAUCCAACCUGCCCAUCACUUGGGAAUAACCUUGCGAAAGUAAGACUAAUGCCCAAUGACAUCCCACGAAGGCAUCCGAAUGGGAUUAAAGAUUUAUCGGUGAUGGAUGGGGAUGCGUCUGAUUAGCUUGUUGGCGGGGUGACGGCCCACCAAGGCAACGAUCAGUAGGGGUUCUGAGAGGAAGGUCCCCCACAUUGGAACUGAGACACGGUCCAAACUCCUACGGGAGGCAGCAGUGAGGAAUAUUGGUCAAUGGGCGAGAGCCUGAACCAGCCAAGUAGCGUGCAGGAUGACGGCCCUAUGGGUUGUAAACUGCUUUUGAAGGGAAUAAAGUGGGUCACGUGUGACUUUUUGCAUGUACCUUAUGAAUAAGGACCGGCUAAUUCCGUG
This 491-nucleotide ribosomal RNA is filed under the name uncultured bacterium. RNAcentral describes it as "partial 16S ribosomal RNA". It matches the Rfam family "Bacterial small subunit ribosomal RNA", at positions 28 to 507 of the family's 1533-position model. The record is from RNAcentral.